AUGUUCCCUUUAAAAAAUUCUUGCUUGCAUUUUGGGUUGGUUUCUGCUCUAUGUUCCCUUUUAGCGUUUCUUUCCGUUGUUGUUGCACUCCCUUUUGGGCGUUCAUUGCAUGCCCAGGAUCUUGCAAAUUGUGCCUGUGCCGAGCUUGCUUUUGUGUACGGGCUGCGGAGACGUCGAGGACCUCAAGGUCACCGAUGUUGUGGAGCUGGACGAGGUUUCCGGGCAGUUCAUCGACCGCCUAUUCUUCCUGGAGAAGAUGAUUUACUCUGCCAGGCGGCAGCACUCGAAGCACACAGGAUCCUGAACCUCAACAACAACCCCUACUUUUCUGGGCCCUAA
Molecule: ribosomal RNA, 339 nt
Filed under: Triticum aestivum (bread wheat)
Lineage: Eukaryota; Viridiplantae; Streptophyta; Magnoliopsida; Poales; Poaceae
Description: partial small subunit ribosomal RNA
Source: RNAcentral